This 773-nucleotide ribosomal RNA is filed under the name uncultured Neocallimastigales. RNAcentral describes it as "partial large subunit ribosomal RNA". It matches the Rfam family "Eukaryotic large subunit ribosomal RNA", at positions 22 to 643 of the family's 3401-position model. The record is from RNAcentral. Lineage: Eukaryota; Fungi; Neocallimastigomycota; Neocallimastigomycetes; Neocallimastigales.
UACACGCUGUGACUAGCAUAUCAAUAAGCGGAGGAAAAGAAACUAACAAGGAUUCCCCUAGUAACGGCGAGUGAAGCGGGAAGAGCUCAAAUUUGAAAUCUUAAAGGGUUUCCCUUUACGAAUUGUAGUUUAAAGAAGUGUUUUCUGUUGAGGUUUUGGUAAAAGUUCUUUGGAAUAGGACAUCAUAGAGGGUGAGAAUCCCGUAUUUGACCUUUACUUUCAACUUUGUGAUACACUUUCAAAGAGUCGGAUUGUUUGGGAAUGCAGUCCAAAACGGGUGGUAAAUUUCAUCUAAAGCUAAAUAUUGGCGAGAGACCGAUAGCGAACAAGUACCGUGAGGGAAAGAUGAAAAGAACUUUGAAAAGAGAGUUAAACAGUACGUGAAAUUGUCAAAAGGGAAGCGUUUGACGCCAGUGUUGUUUUUCUGAAAAUCAAUUAAAGAACUGUUUAUGCUAAGCUGUUUAGACUUUAUCAGCUAACUGUUUAGUUUUGAGCAUUUCUUUAAUGCACUUUUCAGUUAACAAGUCAACAUCAAUUUCUUUUGCUGUAAAAAAGCUUGAGGAAGGUGGCUUGAGAUUCGUCUUAAGUGUUUAUAGCCUCUUGCCUAUGCAGUCGGAGAGAUUGAGGUCUGCAGCGUAGAUCCUUCGGGGCUAAAUGCAUUUGUGCUAAGUUAUAGCAUUUUAUAGACAACUUGUUGACUAUGAUUUGUCUCGUAGCUUACUCGCUUAUGUUAUUUUACCUACGCUUAGGAUGUUGAAGAUGUAGCACAUCAU